AUGAAAGAAUGCCCUUGUUCAUUGUCCAUCCCAGGAAGCAGGGACACUUGGGACCCUCCCUAUUCAUCUCGAUCCUCCGCCCGCUCGCCGGCCUGGAAUGAAUGCCUCCCUUUUAUCCGCUCCGAGGAUGGCCGGGCCUUGUCGGGGGCAGACCGGGAGGAGGAGGGGAUCGGGGGCUGCCCUGGGCCCCCUCCCGGGUCUCCUAAAGGGUCAGCUUUUCCGGACGUGGGGAGUUUACCUCUUGGCGAAACUCAGCCUCGGCCACCUGAAGACCAGCCCCCAGUCCCUCCCGCCCCUUACCACCCAGGACACCCCAGACCGACACUCAGACACCAGCACGUGGUCCAGGGGCCCCAGCUUCCCAUUGGCUGCUCGUCUCCUUCCUUCCCCGCGAUUGGCAGGAGCCCAGCCUCAGGUCCCCCCUCCGCGCCCUACGGUGGUACAGCCUGCCGUGGCUUAGGCGGGGUGGGAAGGUCCACUGCGCCGCGGCGCGGGGGGAGUGGGUCGGGAAGAGCCGGGCGAGGCGGAGGGAUCCCUUUGGAAUGUUUCCGUCGAAACCACCCGGGGCGGGGCGGCACGGCGCGGAUUGGCCACGAGCGUCGGACGGCCGCUUCUGAUUGGCGGGGUGCGGGCGCCGGCCCCGCCCCCUGGCCGCGGCUGCGGGAGAGGCCCGGCCCGGAGUUUGCGGAGGGCCGAGCGGGGCGCGCGCAGGGUGGCGGCGGCGGCGCAGGUGAGUGCCCCCCGCGGGCGGGGCGCGGCGCGGCCGCUCCGGGGACCCCAGCGCGGGCCUGCGGGGCCGCAGACGCGCGGGAUCCGGCGGAUCGAGCGGGGCGGGGCCGGCCCCAGGGACAUGGCUGGAAGUCUAGGUUGGGCGCCAGGAUGCCCGAGGCCCCUUCCCAGAGGGGCGCCUGUCUUUCCGCUGGGGGCAGGGUCAGACGCUUCCCGCCGCUCAAACGGGGCCGACAGGCCACCCUGCCCCCUGCGCUCCUCUGGACAAUCCCCCUCCCGGCAGGGACAGCCGCGGGGUCGGUAUUUCUGAGCCCUGCCUGGGCAUCUCCCUGGAGGUGGCCUCGUCCCCAUCCUCCAGGGCCUAGAGGAACCUGGGGAGGACCGAGGUCCCGACAAUAA
This 1128-nucleotide long non-coding RNA is filed under the name Felis catus (domestic cat). RNAcentral describes it as "lncRNA (ENSFCAG00000052406.1)". Lineage: Eukaryota; Metazoa; Chordata; Mammalia; Carnivora; Felidae. The record is from RNAcentral.